AGAUUGAACGCUGGCGGCAUGCCUAACACAUGCAAGUCGAACGGGAGUAGCAAUACUCUAGUGGCGGACGGGUGAGGAAUACGUAGGAAUUUGCCCUUAAGUGGGGGAUAACCCGGGGAAACCCGGAUUAAUACCGCAUGACCUCGAAAGAGCAAAGUGGGGGAUCGCAAGACCUCACGCUUUUGGAGAAGCCUACGUCGGGUUAGCUAGUUGGUGAGGUAAUGGCUCACCAAGGCGACGAUCCGUAACUGGUCUGAGAGGAUGAUCAGUCACACCGGAACUGAGACACGGUCCGGACUCCUACGGGAGGCAGCAGUGGGGAAUAUUGGACAAUGGGCGCAAGCCUGAUCCAGCAAUGCCGCGUGUGUGAAGAAGGCC
RNAcentral lists this ribosomal RNA (378 nucleotides) under uncultured soil bacterium. RNAcentral's name for it is "bacterial SSU rRNA". It matches the Rfam family "Bacterial small subunit ribosomal RNA", at positions 26 to 416 of the family's 1533-position model. The record is from RNAcentral.